CUUUUCAUUGAGGACGAUGAUGAUUGAGGAUGAUUUGAUGAAGAAUUCAAUAUGGUAUGUAUUUCUUUAAUGUUCCUACAACAUAUAUGUAUUUGUUAUGCCUAUAUUUUGUAUUUGUACUUAAUAAUUUAGGUUUUCUAUAGUAAAAUUUCUUGGUUAGGAAUGGAACCUAUGCUUAUUACAUUGCGGUCUAUGGGAAAUUAGUUCUCACUUUAUUAACUCUCACUUUAUGAACUAGGCUUCGGAACCAAUUAGUUUGUAAAGUCAGGAACUACCUGUAUUCGUGCCUCGGUUAACGGAAAAGUCCCAGUCACUUUCUUUGUCGAUUUGCCUAAAGCAGAUACACAGUCUACUGAGGCCACUCUUCUAGCUUGUCUUUCUAAAUUUGGGCUCAGUAAUGGCUUUCUUGCCAAAAACUGGAUUGGGGCUUGCAGUGAUGGUGCAAGUAUAAUGCUUGGGAGAAAGUCAGGUGUUCUGGAAUGACUCAGUAAAAAAAUAUCCACAGCUUGUGAAAUGGCACUGCUUUUGUCAAAGGCUUGAAUUGUGCAUUUCAGAUACAAUUGAUUCUAUUUUUUGUCUUCGUCAUGUAACAUUAUUUUUUGAGAAGUUUUAUCCUGUGUAUCAUCAGUCCUCAAAAAAUCUGGCAGGGCUCUCUGAACGUGCAAAAGAAUGAGAAAUACAAAUUCUUAAAAAUUGGAACCUUUUUUACUCAGUUAGAUGGGUGGCUUGAAGAGUCACAUCCUGCACUACACAGUCAUUUCUUGAAAGCAAGCUUAAGCUCGGCUCAUAACAGUAAGCAGAAAUUUAGUGGCCUUAACAAGGUCUUGACAUCAGAAGAUUAUUUGUUAAACCUUGCAGGGGUUGCAGAUGCUGUUCAGAAAAUGGGACUGAUAUCUGAAGCUCUACAAAGAGAUGACAUCACACUUCCACAAGCCUUCCAUCAGCUGAUUAAUCGUUCAGUUCGUGCAGUUGAAAAAAUGACAGACAUGCCUGGCAAACAUCUGAAAGAAGUCAUGGAAUCGCUGGGAAAGGGAAUUUCAAAGGUGUGACCAUGAAUCCAGGGAGUUCAAAAGGCCAAGUGAGGUUAAACCUCCCUCGAUUUUAUCAAUGUUUGGUGGAUAAUUUAUGCUCCAGACUCUUUGCUUUACCUGCGAGCAACAGACCUGCAGCUUAAUCACAGUCAGGUGAAUUUUAAACUCUAGUCUCUGAAAUGGACAGUCUGAAUUCACAAUGUUGGCCAAUCAAUGUGGACAGUAUGUAGUUUGACGGUAAAGUAAAGCUGGAGCAGCUGUGCAAAAGAUUCAGUCUCACCUAUCUGUGAAGGUUUCAGAGACUACAUUAAUAAUGGUAGUGCAGAGAUUCCUGAAAAUCUGAAACCAAUGGUGACAGCAGUUAACAGUCUUCAAAUGACAUCUGGUGAUUGUGAAAGGAGUUUCAGUACCAAUUUGGUGAUGUCACACAUUAGGAGUGGGCUUGGCAUUGAACGCCUGUCUUCUCUUUUGUUUAUUAGUCUCAUUGGCCCUCCUGUGCAUUUAUGGGAUCCUUUACCAUACGUCACAAAAUGGCUGACCACACAUUGCAGCCCAGAUGAUACUAAAUCUCGAAACAUUGAUAAUCUUGCACGGCAGGGGCAACGUUAUUCCAGUUUGUGGGAUAUUUUCUAACGGUCUGUGUGUUUAGUUUUUUUUUUAAAUACACUAUUUGUUUUAGAAAUUCCCUGUGAGGGGAAGAUCAUCACACAUUGUGGUGAUUAUCCUGUUAGUAUGACAAACAAGUUAACUUAUUUUGUUGUUACAUUUGUUUACUGCACUGCACUGGCACUUUACAAUAAAUGUUGCACUGUAUUUUCUGAGAAAUAUAUAUAUGACGCAUACUUUUUUGGGGGGCGGGGAUGUUCAACAAUUAGGUAUUUUCAGGUAUUAGGUAUUUUCAAUUUAUCAGAUAAACUAUUGAAUAAAGCAUACAUCAAACUACUCAGUAAAGGUCUAAAAUUUGCUUUAUCAUGUUUUAAUAAACCUUUUGACAAAAGUUUAUAUGCAAACGAUGCAUUUAACAAUUCUUUCACAAUCAUAAGAAUGAUGAUAAUCCCAACUCUAUAAGUAAGGAUAUGAAUGACACGGGAGUUAUCCAUACCUCUUUAACCCCUUAAGGACCAAACCUAUGCAAUAAAAGGGAAUCAUGGCAUGUGUCCUUAAGGGGCUAAAGGAUAGAUAGACCUUCUUCCCCAAACAAUAUUAAAAUGGGUGUCUGAAAGUUUAUGAAAAGUUAGCUAUGACAGAUAUAAAGAGGAUUAAAUAUAAAAGAAAGAACACUUUAACUAAGAACCAACAAAAGGUUUGAAAUGAAUUACAACAUGAUGCCAAUAUUAUAAUUAAAGAGAAAUAAAUAGAAAUACUUUGCCGUGAUCUAUAGACAAUUGGAUGAUGUAUUAACAUAAGAGAAACUAGAGGGGAACCCCACAGAAAAAAAAAAAAAAAUCAAAGAAAUGAAAUAUCAGACUUUAUUGGAAAAGGGUAAAGAGUUGAAUAUUCUUAAUAAAGACGAAUUUCAAUACCUGAGUAUUAGAGUAAGGACUCUAAGCACUUGGAAGAAGACCUCAGGUCGAAACGCGUCUGAUAAGAGACUGUUUAUUAAGGUUUGAUAUUGCCAGCGGUGAGUUUUUUUAUUCUGUGUACUUGCUUUUAGUAUCAGCUACACUGCUUAAAGUUCAUUCUUGGCCUAUCUCCUUAAUCAUCAAUUUAUUUUACUUCAACGUUUAUAAUAAAUAUAAUUUUUUAAUCUACUGGAUCAUUGUGGUACUACUCCUGAAUUUCGUUUAGCCUGGAUAGGUACCCUUGGGCUGUAUCUACAGAAUCUGAUACGGCUCUGCACCAUGUCAGUGUGGUUCCAUUUGCACCCACUAUUGUAUAUACCAAACAGAUUUACGCUAUGUUGGUUUUAUAUUUUCUCUUGUAGGUCUAUAAAUGAUUCUAAGACCCCUGCCUUUUACCUACAUAAGUAUCUUUAUUGUUUUACUUAAUGUGUUACACUUCUGGUGUUUUGUAUUGGUACUUAUUCUGGUUUACCUUGUUUUCUCUAGGGCCAGGAAAGCACUUUUAAAACGUAACAAAUAUUUAUCUUAAAAAGCGCCUAGAUACACUUUUCUGUUUCUUAUUUUGAUUAUUAAAUCUAUGUUUUAGGCAUUAUUCACUUUGCAUUUACUAAACUGAAAUAUAUGUAUAUUUCUAGCCUGAGAUAUAUUUAUAGUAAGAUCUUAAUAAUUUUAAAUAAUUUUCCUUUUGCAACAUUGUAUAGUGUUUAAUUACAAAUUGACAAAAAACAUGUGCAACUGUUUAGAAGGAAUUACACUGAAUUAUGUUUGACUCGUUUUUUAAUGCCCGCUGUUUUAAAUUAGAUAUGUGUUCAUGAAAUGUUCUAUUAGCAAUUGUACAUGUGACUAUAUACAGGUGAUACUCGAAAAAUUAAAAUAUCGUGCAAAAGUUAAUUUAUUUCAGUAAUGCAAUGUAAAAGGGGAAACGAAUAUAUGAUAGUUAGCAAGAUAGUUCAAGCCGUGAUUUGUCAUAAGUGCAAUGAUUAUGGCUUACAGCUCAUGAAAACCCCAAAUCCACAAUCUCAGUAAAUUAGAAUAUUACAUGAAAUCAAUAAAACAAGGAGUGUACAUAGAACAAUAUCAGACCUCUGAAAAGUAUAAGCAUGCAUAUGGACUCAGUACUUGGUUUGGGCCCAUUUUGCAGCAAUUACUGCCUCAAUGCGGCGUGGCAUGGAAGCUAUCAGCCUGUGGCACUGCUGAGGUGUAUGCUUCAAUAGCGGCCUUCAGCUCUUCUGCAUUGCUCGGUCUCAUGUCUCAUCUUUCUCUUGGCAAUGCCCCAGGCUUUGGUGCUUUUGGCAGUGUGGGCAGGUGCAAAGUCCUGCUGGAAAAUGAAGUCAGCAUCCCCAUAAAGCUCGUCUGCGGAAGGAAGCAUGAAGUGCUCCAAAAUCUCCUGGUAGACGGCUGUGUUGACCCUGGACUUAAUGAAGCACAGUGGACCAACACCAGCAGAUGACAUGGCUCCCCAAAUCAAUACAGACUGUGGAAACUUCACACACAGUGUGUGCCUCUCCAUUCUUCCUCCAGAUUCUGGGUCCUUGUUUUCCAAAUGAGAUGCAAAAGUUGCUCUCAUCAGAAAAGAGGACUUUGGACCACUGAGUAACAGACCAGGUCUGUUUUUCUUUAGCCCAGGUAAGACGCUUCUGAUGUUGUUUGUUGUUCAGGAGCGGCUUGACAAGAGGAAUACACAGAUACACAGAUUCGUCUGUGUGUGGUGACUCUUGAUGCACUGACUCCCGCCUCAGUCCACUCCUUGUGAAAGUCCCCAACACUUUUGAAUGGCCUUUUCCUGACAAUCCUCUCCAGGCUGCGGUCAUCCCUGCUGCUUGUGCACCUUUUCUUGCACACUUUUGGAACAUCCAACCUCCUUUGCAAUUACCUUUUGAGGCUUUCCCUCCUUAUGGAGGGUGUCAAUUAUGGUUUUCUGCACAACUGUCAGGUCAGCAGUCUUCCCCAUGAUUGUGAUUCCUACUGAUCUAGACUGAGAGACCAAUUAAAUUCUCAGAAACCCUUUGCAGGUGUUAUGGCUUACUUAGCUGAUUAGAGUGGUGUCAUGUUACAUGAUAUUGUUUUAUUAUAAUGUACUGUUUCUUUAAUGUUCAUCUUUAGUUUGUCUCCUGGACCACUCUGAAGUUUGCAUGCUGCUUCAGGUACUCCCCUCCCCUUCUCCUGUUCUAAUGUUUUCUAUGCUAAACAUUCAAUGGGACUUGUGGUAUCUCUCCUAACCUGUAUGGAAGAAUCGUUCUUUUACCUGUUGUGACUGCACAUUCUACAGAUCAUACGACGAAUUAACAUCGCCAGAUCUUCUUUCAUGUGAGUUGUGACUCAGUAAACUAUCUAGGAAGGUGAUUUGGUACGGAUAAUCUCAUCAGGGCAAUGAACGCCAUGUGCUCUUGAAAACCACAUUCAUAGCCUUUGCAGCCGUUCCAGAAUAAGUGGGACACUGUGAGACUAGAAUAUUGCACCUUUUCACAAUAUUCUAAUCUACUGAGAUUGUGGAUUGGGGUUUUCAUGAGCUGUAAGCCAUAAUCAUCGCACUUAUGACAAAUCACGGCUUGAACUAUCUUGCUUUGCGUGUAAUGCGUCUAUCUCAUAUUAGUUUCCCCUUUUACGUUGCAUUACUGAAAUAAAUUAACUUUUGCACGGUAUUCUAAUUCUAGAAUUCUAAUCACUUGUAAGCAAAGACUUUGAAAUAUUAGCCAGUCAUUAAGGUAACAGUAAUUCUGGAACACGCACUAGGUUAAAGAUGCUAUGUCAGAAAAUGGGCUAGAUAUAAUAUAUUAUUGUAGAGAAAUUAAAAAGUUCAUGUUAUUCUUAAAUCUUUUGUUAUCAUUCAGUAUUAUCAUUCUUCUUUAUAUUUUGUCUUUUCUAGAACCUUAGCUUUAUGCUUAAAAGUCAGUUUGAGUGAAGAAAGUCAGAAUGGAUAUCCGCAACUUUUUUACAAAGCCUAGUAAAGCAAAUACAUCCUCAUCAAGCUCAGAAGCAUGUCAACAAAAAGAGAUCACUGAAUCACCAGUCAGGCAUCAUUUUGUUGAGCCAGAAAAGGAAUAUGCUGAGACAGUGUCUUUAGAAGCAGUUGGCCUCAUG
Pelobates cultripes (western spadefoot toad) is the source of this 5674-nucleotide non-coding RNA. The record is from the annotation of a GenBank genome assembly. NCBI's taxonomy places the organism in Eukaryota, Metazoa, Chordata, Amphibia, Anura, Pelobatidae.